Molecule: long non-coding RNA, 991 nt
Filed under: Gallus gallus (chicken)
Lineage: Eukaryota; Metazoa; Chordata; Aves; Galliformes; Phasianidae
Description: long non-coding RNA NONGGAT008021
Source: RNAcentral
AUUUGCUUUGCAGGAUAUUUCUGUCCUUAGAUCUCUGUACCUCAGGAAAAAUAUAUUUUAGUCCUUCUUAUGUGAAAGUAGACAGUUUUGAUCUAACUGUUGAGUGAUGCAACAAAAAAUCCUCACCUAUAUAAAAGGCUGUGUCUCUGAUCCUAGGCUUGUCCCCAUGAAGAGCCUCCUGAAGUCAGUCCCAGAAUCUGCAGUGCGUGACGUGACAAAUGCUUCCUGUUUUGUCUCUUUUGAGGUCUUGUGGAGCCCUUUGUUGGCCUGAUCAGUUUGACGAGUGUAGCCAGUACCCAAUGACAACUUAGAAAAGAGCAGAAGAAAUGAGAGCUUUGUGGCAGGAAGUGUUACAGAGCUAUAGACACUUACAGCCCUGCGCCUAACUAGGCAGCUAUUGAGGUGAACCAAUGGCAUCCUGAAGAGAAACAUUACUUAGGAUAAAGUAAACACUUGUAGUAAAUUUAGGUUCCUACCCAUGCCCCUUUAAAUAUCCUCCCUGGGACAGGAUCAAAACAACCUAGAAAUGUGUGAAAUGCAAAGAAACAGUGCUGAUUUGCUGUGGUUUUGCUGGGCCCUCCAUAUGGGCUAUUGUGCCUCAGUUAUUUAGGAUGGCAGCCAUCAGCCCAGAAUGUGCCUUGCUAAGGGAAAGUCCCUAGUUACUGCUGUAGCAGUACUGCAGCGCUGAGGGAACUUCAAUGCCUGUGGCUGCCCACCCGGUACCUGACGUUGUUCAGCCUCAACACCACGUAGCUCUGCCAUUCCUCGCUCCUUAGGUGCCUGUACUCUGGCACUUGGAAAAAAUCAGACCAAAUGGCAGACUCACUUCAAGCAGAGACCAUUGGCUGUGUGUUGUGGGCUUCAGAGAUUCUCUAAAUUGUAUUUAAAAAAAAAAAAUAGAGGACCAUCUGCAAAUACUCGGCUUGUAUCCACCUUCAGACAACAGCCCUGCUACUGAGCUAGAUGGAGAAGCUCUCCUUUUUACUGAGAG